UCAAAGUUUAAAGCAAAAGAAAGUACUUAUGUUCCUCAAUGCAACAUUUUCAAUUCUGUCUUGUGUUACUGUCAUGAUUCUUACUUUCUCAAUUAUUUACUUUUGAUUGAAAGAUUGCGAUACAUCGUAGGUCAUGAAUAUUGAAAAUUGGAAAACAUUUGCAUUUGACUAUUGAGACUGACGUGAGAGGAGGCAUACCUAGGUACUUCGAAGUACUACGGAUAUAAGUAGUUAUGAUGAUGUUCUUUUGGAAAAUUCAUCUAUCCAGCAUUUUAUUCCAUCAACAUCAAAUAUACUGCUGCGAUGCUGCGAAUACUUAUGCACAGUAUAAUUUAUUCACACAAACAUCAUUCAACAUUGUUCUCGGAAAAUUGGCGUUUCUAGAUGAUAAUAUUUCAAAAGAUUGUUGAUGAAAAUGAUUACUGCGAAAAGAACGAAUUUGCACGUCACUUCCGUGCAUGUGCAGCCUAACGGGGUAGGGUUUGCUAAUAUGCGAUAAACACCGGACUUGUGAAAUAAAAUGAAAAUAAUUGCUCAUUUCUCUAAUAAAAGCUGAAUAAGUUUAAA
Planococcus citri (citrus mealybug) is the source of this 567-nucleotide long non-coding RNA. RefSeq lists it as uncharacterized. The record is from RefSeq and is a predicted model, not a curated record. NCBI's taxonomy places the organism in Eukaryota, Metazoa, Arthropoda, Insecta, Hemiptera, Pseudococcidae. The transcript is spliced from 2 exons.